UUUAGAAUCCUGUAAGUAACGUUCAAUUACCGAUCCCGGAACAUCGGAAGCUACUAAAAGAAGUCUAAAGCAAAAAGCACAAGCGAGAGGACGAGGAACAAAAACGAAUCGUAAAACGACGGGAAGGGGUCGAAAAAGAUGUAAACAGCGUGAAACCGCGACACUCUCGAGAAACUAUGGAAAUUCGAAGGUCGUAAGGAGUCAGCAACAGCGAAAGCAGAUUGUUCGUACCGACACGUGGAACUUGGGUUCACCUCGAGAAAUGAGACAUUCCGACUAGAAUGUGACUUGAUCGCUGGAAAUUCUUCCUGAGGAUCUUAAGACAACGCGCGGCAUUCUCAAAUGGGAGAAAAUCUGUAGAGAGAAGAAAUAUCUGGAAAUUUACAUACGAUGGUUACGGAAAGUAUUUGUACAUCGCCAUCUUCAUUAUAGCAUUUAUUAAUUAAUUAAGUGUAAUUAUAAGUAUCUUUAUAUC
This is a long non-coding RNA of Bombus pascuorum, 475 nucleotides long. RefSeq lists it as uncharacterized. NCBI's taxonomy places the organism in Eukaryota, Metazoa, Arthropoda, Insecta, Hymenoptera, Apidae. The transcript has 2 exons. The record is from RefSeq and is a predicted model, not a curated record.